AAGACUAUACUUUCAGGGAUCAUUUCUAUAGUUCGUUACUAGAAAAAGGACUGAACGAAAUGAAGAGUUUUGCAACUCCAUAGGA
Small nucleolar RNA from Rattus norvegicus (Norway rat), 85 nucleotides. Ensembl annotates it as small nucleolar RNA U3. NCBI's taxonomy places the organism in Eukaryota, Metazoa, Chordata, Mammalia, Rodentia, Muridae. The record is from Ensembl.